Molecule: ribosomal RNA, 492 nt
Filed under: uncultured bacterium
Lineage: Bacteria
Description: partial 16S ribosomal RNA
Rfam family: Bacterial small subunit ribosomal RNA
Source: RNAcentral
AGUGAACGCUGGCGGUAGGCCUAACACAUGCAAGUCGAACGGCAGCACAGUAAGAGCUUGCUCUUACGGGUGGCGAGUGGCGGACGGGUGAGGAAUACAUCGGAAUCUACUUUUUCGUGGGGGAUAACGUAGGGAAACUUACGCUAAUACCGCAUACGACCUACGGGUGAAAGCAGGGGAUCUUCGGACCUUGCGCGAUUGAAUGAGCCGAUGUCGGAUUAGCUAGUUGGCGGGGUAAAGGCCCACCAAGGCGACGAUCCGUAGCUGGUCUGAGGGGAUGAUCAGCCACACUGGGACUGAGACACGGUCCAGACUCCUACGGGAGGCAGCAGUGGGGAAUAUUGGACAAUGGGCGCAAGCCUGAUCCAGCCAUACCGCGUGGGUGAAGAAGGCCUUCGGGUUGUAAAGCCCUUUUGUUGGGAAAGAAAAGCAGCAGGUUAAUACCCCGCUGUUCUGACGGUACCCAAAGAAUAAGCACCGGCUAACUUCGUG